AAGUCGUAACAAGGUUUCCGUAGGUGAACCUGCGGAAGGAUCAUUAUUGAAUAAACUUGGCGUGGUUGAGCUGACUCUCUCGGGAGUAUGUGCUCGCUCGUCAUCUUUAUCUUUCCACCUGUGCACUUUUUGUAGAUUUGGAUGUAACUUUCUGAGGCAACUCAGUUGGGAGGAAUGCUAUUUCGAUGGCUUUCCUUGUAUGUCCAAGUCUAUGUUUUCAUAUACUCCAAGUAUGUAACAGAAUGUAUCACUGGGCCUUGUGCCUAUAAACCUUAUACAACUUUCAGCAACGGAUCUCUUGGCUCUC
This 307-nucleotide unclassified non-coding RNA is filed under the name Gymnopilus dilepis. Its description in RNAcentral is "partial internal transcribed spacer region". The stretch from base 1 to 46 matches the Rfam family "Eukaryotic small subunit ribosomal RNA", at positions 1786 to 1831 of the family's 1831-position model. The record is from RNAcentral. Lineage: Eukaryota; Fungi; Basidiomycota; Agaricomycetes; Agaricales; Galerinaceae. RNAcentral also lists the same sequence under 1 other name.